Molecule: microRNA precursor, 139 nt
Organism: Arabis alpina (gray rockcress)
Lineage: Eukaryota; Viridiplantae; Streptophyta; Magnoliopsida; Brassicales; Brassicaceae
Source: Rfam
GGAGAAAGAGAAUUGUCUGAAUAGCCGAGGAGACUGCCUGACGACUAACCAACUCAAAGACUAUCGAUCAAAGUCUUUAAUAGAUAUGGCUUAAGACGCAGGCAAGUCAUCCUUGGCUACCACACCACUUCCCUUUCUU